This 383-nucleotide ribosomal RNA is filed under the name uncultured eukaryote. RNAcentral describes it as "partial 18S ribosomal RNA". It matches the Rfam family "Eukaryotic small subunit ribosomal RNA", at positions 592 to 976 of the family's 1831-position model. The record is from RNAcentral.
CAAUAGCAUAUAUUAAAGUUGUUGCAGUUAAAAAGCUCGUAGUUGGAUUUCUGGUGGGAGCGAUCGGUCUGGCGCUUAGCGCGAGUACUUGCAUCGUCUCCGGCCAUCCUUGGGGAGAGUCUGUCUGGCAUUAGGUUGUCGGGCAGAGGAUCCUCAUCGUUUACUGUGAAAAAAUUAGAGUGUUCAAAGCAGGCUUAUGCCGUUGAAUAUAUUAGCAUGGAAUAAUAAGAUAGGACUUUGGUACUAUUUUGUUGGUUUGCGCACCAAAGUAAUGAUUAAUAGGGACAGUUGGGGGUAUUCGUAUUCCGUUGUCAGAGGUGAAAUUCUUGGAUUUACGGAAGACGAACUACUGCGAAAGCAUUUACCAAGGAUGUUUUCAUUAA